AGGAGAAGACCGGAAGUCCGAAGCGCAGACAAUGCGGUGUUUAUUGGGGUUUUCAGUGGAAAAAGAUACAGUCCAGAAAACACUUUUCAGGCAAGUGGCUCAUGGAAGAAGAACAACAAGGUUAAGGAGGGUGAAGAGAGAAGUGAGGAGUGACAUGUGUGAUGCUAAAAUCCCACCACUCAACAAUGAGCAAUUCAAAAGGCAACAGCAGCAGAAGAGGGGGAGCAACACCUGCCUUGUCUGUCUUCACAUAUUCUACCAUCUAGUGGGAUUAAAAAGUCACUUCUCUCCCUAAUGUUUCGUAUUCAUUAGAUAUACUGUGCUUGAAAAUAAGGUUUAAAUGUUUAAAAUGUUGCUGGUACCUUUUCUGUGUUAUAGAGAGGAUCAAGAAUACUAAACAAUUUUGUUUAAUUUAUGCUUGAGGAUGGGUAAGAAAAAGAUCCUAGUUUUUGGAUGCAAUAUUCAAAGCUAUGGAAGUCACAAAACAUUCAUUCACCUAACCUGAGGAGAUUUUACGAU
Gopherus flavomarginatus (Mexican gopher tortoise) is the source of this 519-nucleotide long non-coding RNA. RefSeq lists it as uncharacterized. The transcript is spliced from 3 exons. The record is from RefSeq and is a predicted model, not a curated record. Lineage: Eukaryota; Metazoa; Chordata; Testudines; Testudinidae.